Molecule: ribosomal RNA, 253 nt
Filed under: uncultured bacterium
Lineage: Bacteria
Description: partial 16S ribosomal RNA
Rfam family: Bacterial small subunit ribosomal RNA
Source: RNAcentral
UACGUAGGUGGCAAGCGUUGUUCGGAUUUACUGGGCGUAAAGAGCGCGCAGGCGGUCGGAUCAGUCGAAUGUGAAAGCCCCCGGCUCAACUGGGGAGUGUCGUGCGAUACGGGCGGACUGGAGGCCAGUAGGGGGAUGCGGAAUUCCGGGUGUAGUGGUGGAAUGCGUAGAGAUCCGGAGGAACACCAGCGGCGAAGGCGGCAUCCUGGACUGGUCCUGACACUCAGGAGCGAAAGCGUGGGGAGCGAUCCGG